GAUGAACGCUGGCGGCGUGCCUAAUACAUGCAAGUCGAGCGAACAGACGAGGAGCUUGCUCCUCUGACGUUAGCGGCGGACGGGUGAGUAACACGUGGAUAACCUACCUAUAAGACUGGGAUAACUUCGGGAAACCGGGGCUAAUACCGGAUAAUAUAUUGAACCGCAUGGUUCAAUAGUGAAAGACGGUUUUGCUGUCACUUAUAGAUGGAUCCGCGCCGCAUUAGCUAGUUGGUAAGGUAACGGCUUACCAAGGCAACGAUGCGUAGCCGACCUGAGAGGGUGAUCGGCCACACUGGAACUGAGACACGGUCCAGACGCCUACGGGAGGCAGCAGUAGGGAAUCUUCCGCAAUGGGCGAAAGCCUGACGGAGCAACGCCGCGUGAGUGAUGAAGGUCUUCGGAUCGUAAAACUCUGUUAUUAGGGAAGAACAAAUGUGUAAGUAACUAUGCACGUCUUGACGGUACCUAAUCAGAAAGCCACGGCUAACUACGUG
RNAcentral lists this ribosomal RNA (497 nucleotides) under uncultured bacterium. RNAcentral's name for it is "partial 16S ribosomal RNA". It matches the Rfam family "Bacterial small subunit ribosomal RNA", at positions 28 to 507 of the family's 1533-position model. The record is from RNAcentral.